AUUCAACGGCCGCGGUAUCAUAACCGUGCAAAGGUAGCGUAAUCACUUGUCUCCUAAAUAGAGACUCGUAUGAACGGCUAACUGAGGGCCCAACUGUCUCCUUUAGCCAAUCAAUGAAACUGAUUUUUCAGUACAAAAGCUGAGAUAUCAUCACAAGACGAAAAGACCCUGUGGAGCUUUAAGUUAACACUACCCAUAUAAUCAUAUGUCUAACCCAGACACACCACCCAAAACUAUAGUCCAAACUUUAAGUUGGGGCGACUGCGGAGAUAAACAAAACCUCCACAAACCAAGGUUAACUACCUAUCAUUUGGCCUACAAGCCUAAUGACCUAAGACAUUGACCCAGUAGCACUGCAACCGAACCAAGUUACCCCAGGGAUAACAGCGCCAUCCCCCUUUAGAGUCCCUAUCGCCAGGGGGGCUUACGACCUCGAUGUUGGAUCAGGACACCCCGGUGGUGAAGCCGCUACCAAAGGUUCGUUUGUUCAACGAUUAAUGUCCUA
Molecule: ribosomal RNA, 505 nt
Filed under: Pachydactylus rugosus
Lineage: Eukaryota; Metazoa; Chordata; Lepidosauria; Squamata; Gekkonidae
Description: partial 16S ribosomal RNA
Rfam family: Bacterial large subunit ribosomal RNA
Source: RNAcentral